Molecule: ribosomal RNA, 253 nt
Filed under: uncultured bacterium
Lineage: Bacteria
Description: partial 16S ribosomal RNA
Rfam family: Bacterial small subunit ribosomal RNA
Source: RNAcentral
UACGGAGGGUGCAAGCGUUAUCCGGAUUCACUGGGUUUAAAGGGUGCGUAGGUGGGCCUGUAAGUCAGUGGUGAAAUCUCCGGGCUUAACCCGGAAACUGCCAUUGAUACUAUAGGUCUUGAAUCAUCUGGAGGUGAGCGGAAUAUGUCAUGUAGCGGUGAAAUGCUUAGAUAUGACAUAGAACACCGAUUGCGAAGGCAGCUCACUACGGAUGUAUUGACACUGAGGCACGAAAGCGUGGGGAUCAAACAGG